GAUGAACGCUAGCUACAGGCUUAACACAUGCAAGUCGAGGGGCAUCAGUUUGGUUUGCUUGCAAACCAAAGCUGGCGACCGGCGCACGGGUGAGUAACACGUAUCCAACCCGCCUCAUACUCGGGGAUAGCCUUUCGAAAGAAAGAUUAAUAUCCGAUAGCAUAUAUUUCCCGCAUGGGUUUUAUAUUAAAGAAAUUCGGUAUGAGAUGGGGAUGCGUUCCAUUAGUUUGUUGGGGGGGUAACGGCCCACCAAGACUACGAUGGAUAGGGGUUCUGAGAGGAAGGUCCCCCACAUUGGAACUGAGACACGGUCCAAACUCCUACGGGAGGCAGCAGUGAGGAAUAUUGGUCAAUGGACGCGAGUCUGAACCAGCCAAGUAGCGUGAAGGAUGACUGCCCUAUGGGUUGUAAACUUCUUUUAUAUGGGAAUAAAGUUGUCCACGUGCGGAUUUUUGUAUGUACCAUAUGAAUAAGGAUCGGCUAACUCCGUGCCAGCAGCCGCGGUAAUACGGAGGAUCCGAGCGUUAUCCGGAUUUAUUGGGUUUAAAGGGAGCGUAGGCGGAUUGUUAAGUCAGUUGUGAAAGUUUGCGGCUCAACCGUAAAAUUGCAGUUGAUACUGGCAGUCUUGAGUGCAGUAGAGGUGGGCGGAAUUCGUGGUGUAGCGGUGAAAUGCUUAGAUAUCACGAAGAACUCCGAUUGCGAAGGCAGCUCACUGGAGUGUAACUGACGCUGAUGCUCGAAAGUGUGGGUAUCAAACAGG
This 760-nucleotide ribosomal RNA is filed under the name Bacteroides caccae. RNAcentral's name for it is "bacterial SSU rRNA". It matches the Rfam family "Bacterial small subunit ribosomal RNA", at positions 28 to 776 of the family's 1533-position model. The record is from RNAcentral. Lineage: Bacteria; Pseudomonadati; Bacteroidota; Bacteroidia; Bacteroidales; Bacteroidaceae.